Molecule: ribosomal RNA, 484 nt
Filed under: uncultured bacterium
Lineage: Bacteria
Description: partial 16S ribosomal RNA
Rfam family: Bacterial small subunit ribosomal RNA
Source: RNAcentral
AUUGAACGCUGGCGGCAGGCCUAACACAUGCAAGUCGAGCGGAUGAAGGGAGCUUGCUCCUGGAUUCAGCGGCGGACGGGUGAGUAAUGCCUAGGAAUCUGCCUGGUAGUGGGGGAUAACGUCCGGAAACGGGCGCUAAUACCGCAUACGUCCUGAGGGAGAAAGUGGGGGAUCUUCGGACCUCACGCUAUCAGAUGAGCCUAGGUCGGAUUAGCUAGUUGGUGGGGUAAAGGCCUACCAAGGCGACGAUCCGUAACUGGUCUGAGAGGAUGAUCAGUCACACUGGAACUGAGACACGGUCCAGACUCCUACGGGAGGCAGCGGUGGGGAAUAUUGGACAAUGGGCGAAAGCCUGAUCCAGCCAUGCCGCGUGUGUGAAGAAGGUCUUCGGAUUGUAAAGCACUUUAAGUUGGGAGGAAGGGCAUUAAGUUAAUACCUUGCUGUUUUGACGUUACCAACAGAAUAAGCACCGGCUAACUUCGUG